AUAAAUCCUGCAAGAUCGUGGAAAGAUCUUGCAUGAUCUUGCAAGAUCUUUCCAAGUUCUUGCAGGAUCUUACCUAAGAUCUUGCAGGAUCUUGCAAGAUCUUUCCAUGUUCUUGCAGGAUCUUACCUAAGAUCUUGCAAGAUCUUGCCAUUAUCAUGGCAAGAUCUUGCAGGAUUUGUACCAAGAUCAUGCCAAGAUCUUACAUAAAUCCUGCAAGAUCAUGGAAAGAUCUUGCAUGAUCUUGCAAGAUCUUUC
Molecule: small RNA, 255 nt
Filed under: Paramuricea clavata
Lineage: Eukaryota; Metazoa; Cnidaria; Anthozoa; Malacalcyonacea; Plexauridae
Source: RNAcentral